AGUUGGGCCUUGUGACUAGCUCUUCCUUCCUGCCAGGAGUGGCAGUUGGGUCAGGUGACUAGUCCUUCCUUCCUGCAAGGUGGGUCUUGCUUCCUGGGAUUGGAGGGAAGAGGAUCUUGUUCAGCCCAGUCUGGCGAGGCAUGCUCUUCUUGGUUCAGCCCAAAGACACAGGCUUCUAAAGGCAAAGUUGAAGCUCAGAAAAUGCAAAGAUGCUGUUAGCUCCUCUGGGAGCAUAACCAGUGCCUUGGAGAGAGGAAAGAUGCUAAGUUCAGCAGUCCACACCUUCCCUGCCCCUCUGAGUCUCUCCUUCAUUCAGUGAAAAAUUGAGCCCCAGAAAAGGAGAAGAGCUUCAUUAAACUUGCACAGUUAGAAUGUAGCAGGAUCUACAGUCAAAUCCUAGUAGAAAGAGAAAUUUUAUUUCGGACGGAGAGUUAGUGGGGACUGAAAAUUGUUGAUUUCCCCAAAACUAUUUGUUGCCCAAUAAUGUCAAUUAUUUCCCCUACGACAAUAUGGCAAAAGAAAAGAUCCAGUUGUUAACUAGAAUUCUAUGUCUUUUUGUUUGCAAAUUAAAACAAAAACAUAUCAAAAUAUCUGAAAAAAUCUGAGAUAUCAAAGGUGCCUCUUUGUUUAUCCAACCCAUCUUCCCCCUACUAGUCCUUGAUCCAACUCCAGUCUUCUC
RNAcentral lists this long non-coding RNA (679 nucleotides) under Monodelphis domestica (gray short-tailed opossum). RNAcentral's name for it is "lncRNA (ENSMODG00000037480.1)". The record is from RNAcentral. Lineage: Eukaryota; Metazoa; Chordata; Mammalia; Didelphimorphia; Didelphidae.